AGUGAACGCUGGCGGUAGGCCUAACACAUGCAAGUCGAACGGCAGCACAGUAAGAGCUUGCUCUUACGGGUGGCGAGUGGCGGACGGGUGAGGUAUACAUCGGAAUCUACUUUUUCGUGGGGGAUAACGUAGGGAAACUUACGCUAAUACCGCAUACGACCUACGGGUGAAAGCAGCGGAUCUUCGGACCUUGCGCGAUUGAAUGAGCCGAUGUCGGAUUAGCUAGUUGGCGGGGUAAAGGCCCACCAAGGCGACGAUCCGUAGCUGGUCUGAGAGGAUGAUCAGCCACACUGGAACUGAGACACGGUCCAGACUCCUACGGGAGGCAGCAGUGGGGAAUAUUGGACAAUGGGCGCAAGCCUGAUCCAGCCAUACCGCGUGGGUGAAGAAGGCCUUCGGGUUGUAAAGCCCUUUUGUUGGGAAAGAAAAGCAGCAGGUUAAUACCCCGCUGUUCUGACGGUACCCAAAGAAUAAGCACCGGCUAACUUCGUG
RNAcentral lists this ribosomal RNA (492 nucleotides) under uncultured bacterium. RNAcentral describes it as "partial 16S ribosomal RNA". It matches the Rfam family "Bacterial small subunit ribosomal RNA", at positions 29 to 507 of the family's 1533-position model. The record is from RNAcentral.